GCCUUGAUGUGUAGGAUAGGUGGGAGGCUUUGAAGUGUGGACGCCAGUCUGCAUGGAGCCGACCUUGAAAUACCACCCUUUAAUGUUUGAUGUUCUAACGUGGACCCGUGAUCCGGGUUGCGGACAGUGUCUGGUGGGUAGUUUGACUGGGGCGGUCUCCUCCUAAAGAGUAACGGAGGAGCACGAAGGUUGGCUAAUCCUGGUCGGACAUCAGGAGGUUAGUGCAAUGGCAUAAGCCAGCUUGACUGCGAGCGUGACGGCGCGAGCAGGUGCGAAAGCAGGUCAUAGUGAUCCGGUGGUUCUGAAUGGAAGGGCCAUCGCUCAACGGAUAAAAGGUACUCCGGGGAUAACAGGCUGAUACCGCCCAAGAGUUCAUAUCGACGGCGGUGUUUGGCACCUCGAUGUCGGCUCAUCACAUCCUGGGGCUGAAGUAGGUCCCAAGGGUAUGGCUGUUCGCCAUUUAAAGUGGUACGCGAGCUGGGUUUAGAACGUCGUGAGACAGUUCGGUCCCUAUCUGCCGUGGGCGCUGGAGAACUGAGGGGGGCUGCUCCUAGUACGAGAGGACCGGAGUGGACGCAUCACUGGUGUUCGGG
This 593-nucleotide ribosomal RNA is filed under the name Salmonella enterica. Its description in RNAcentral is "partial 23S ribosomal RNA". It matches the Rfam family "Bacterial large subunit ribosomal RNA", at positions 2128 to 2720 of the family's 2925-position model. The record is from RNAcentral. Lineage: Bacteria; Pseudomonadati; Pseudomonadota; Gammaproteobacteria; Enterobacterales; Enterobacteriaceae.